This 446-nucleotide ribosomal RNA is filed under the name Lysinibacillus sp. Its description in RNAcentral is "bacterial SSU rRNA". It matches the Rfam family "Bacterial small subunit ribosomal RNA", at positions 353 to 798 of the family's 1533-position model. The record is from RNAcentral. Lineage: Bacteria; Bacillati; Bacillota; Bacilli; Caryophanales; Bacillaceae.
GCCCAGGAAGUGUUCUGGGCGAAGCUGAUGGAGCACGCCGCGUGAGUGAAGAAGGUUUUCGGAUCGUAAAACUCUGUUGUAAGGGAAGAACAAGUACAGUAGUAACUGGCUGUACCUUGACGGUACCUUAUUAGAAAGCCACGGCUAACUACGUGCCAGCAGCCGCGGUAAUACGUAGGUGGCAAGCGUUGUCCGGAAUUAUUGGGCGUAAAGCGCGCGCAGGCGGUCCUUUAAGUCUGAUGUGAAAGCCCACGGCUCAACCGUGGAGGGUCAUUGGAAACUGGGGGACUUGAGUGCAGAAGAGGAAAGUGGAAUUCCAAGUGUAGCGGUGAAAUGCGUAGAGAUUUGGAGGAACACCAGUGGCGAAGGCGACUUUCUGGUCUGUAACUGACGCUGAGGCGCGAAAGCGUGGGGAGCAAACAGGAUUAGAUACCCCGGUAGUCAAG